AGCGAACGCUAGCGGCGGGCCUAACACAUGCAAGUCGAGCGGGGAGCAAUCCCAGCGGCGAACGGGUGAGUAACACGUGGGUAAUGUGCCUUCUGGUGGGGAAUAACCUUGGGAAACCAGGGCUAAUACCGCAUAUCGUGCUUCGGCAUGAAAGCCUUCGGGCGCCAGUAGAGCAGCCUGCGUCCCAUUAUUUAGUCCUAGUUGGUAGGGUAAUGGCCUACCAAGGGUACGAUGGGUAGCUGGUCUGAGAGGAUGAUCAGCCACACUGGAACUGAGACACGGUCCAGACUCCUACGGGAGGCAGCAGUGGGGAAUAUUGCGCAAUGGGGGAAACCCUGACGCAGCCACGCCGCGUGAGUGAUGAAGGCCUCGGUUGUAAGCGUCUGUCGGGAGGGACGAAGGGAGCGAAUACUCUGACGGUACC
Molecule: ribosomal RNA, 424 nt
Filed under: uncultured bacterium
Lineage: Bacteria
Description: bacterial SSU rRNA
Rfam family: Bacterial small subunit ribosomal RNA
Source: RNAcentral